RNAcentral lists this ribosomal RNA (465 nucleotides) under Vreelandella stevensii. RNAcentral's name for it is "partial 16S ribosomal RNA". It matches the Rfam family "Bacterial small subunit ribosomal RNA", at positions 338 to 795 of the family's 1533-position model. The record is from RNAcentral. Lineage: Bacteria; Pseudomonadati; Pseudomonadota; Gammaproteobacteria; Oceanospirillales; Halomonadaceae.
CCUACGGGGGGCAGCAGUGGGGAAUAUUGGACAAUGGGGGCAACCCUGAUCCAGCCAUGCCGCGUGUGUGAAGAAGGCCCUCGGGUUGUAAAGCACUUUCAGUGAGGAAGAACGCCUGGUGGUUAAUACCCAUCAGGAAAGACAUCACUCACAGAAGAAGCACCGGCUAACUCCGUGCCAGCAGCCGCGGUAAUACGGAGGGUGCGAGCGUUAAUCGGAAUUACUGGGCGUAAAGCGCGCGUAGGUGGCUUGAUAAGCCGGUUGUGAAAGCCCCGGGCUCAACCUGGGAACGGCAUCCGGAACUGUCAAGCUAGAGUGCAGGAGAGGAAGGUAGAAUUCCCGGUGUAGCGGUGAAAUGCGUAGAGAUCGGGAGGAAUACCAGUGGCGAAGGCGGCCUUCUGGACUGACACUGACACUGAGGUGCGAAAGCGUGGGGAGCAAACAGGAUUAGAUACCCCUGUAGUC